Long non-coding RNA from Cucumis sativus (cucumber), 610 nucleotides. RefSeq lists it as uncharacterized. The record is from RefSeq and is a predicted model, not a curated record. NCBI's taxonomy places the organism in Eukaryota, Viridiplantae, Streptophyta, Magnoliopsida, Cucurbitales, Cucurbitaceae. The transcript is spliced from 2 exons.
AUUAAACAGAAAGUAAAUAAUAAUAUAUAUACAAAUGGCUAAGGCUAUGAUCUCCUCCUCAUUUCCCAUCUUCCUAUUGGCUUUCUCUCUUCUCAUUUUCUCUAUUUCUGUCGAAACUCGUUCUACUCCCUUCCGUGGGGUUGUUGAAGCUGGGUUGGAGUUACAAUGCAACAAAGUUUAUGGAGUAAAGAAUGGAGACACAUGCUUUGAUCUUGAACAGAAAUUUAAGAUCACCACUCCCCACUUCAGUUUCAUCAAUCCAAAUCUCAAUUGCACUGAUCUUUUCAUUGGCCAAUGGCUCUGUCUCGAUGCUGUCCUUAUCCUCCCUUAAAAUUAAUCACCUUUUUAAUUAAGCCUUGUAAUUUCAAAUAACUCUUUUUUAGUGCUUAUUAAAAAAGUAAUUUCAAACAAAGUCUCUACCACACACUCAAUAAAUGGAGGACCCAAAUCUCCUCUAUACUUUGUGUGUUGUUCUUAGUAAUUUUACUUUUCUGUCUUUUCAUGAUUGUCUGUUUGUUUCUUUUCUCUCUUUCAGUUAAUUUUGGUUUUAUGUAAUCUCAAUCCUAUUCUCAACUUUGUUGGUUAAGAUAUGAUUCCUAUAGCUUUAAUU